Non-coding RNA from Vigna umbellata (rice bean), 553 nucleotides. The record is from RefSeq and is a predicted model, not a curated record. Lineage: Eukaryota; Viridiplantae; Streptophyta; Magnoliopsida; Fabales; Fabaceae.
UUAUUACUAUCCGAAGCGAUUGGAUCAAGUACUAUUUGUGGAUGCACCUUUUGUUUUUAAGCCAAUUUGGCAGCUAGCCAAACCCUUGUUAAAAUCAUAUGCUUCCCUGGUAAGAUUUUGCUCUGCAGAAACUGUUAGGAAGGAAUAUUUUACAGAAGAAACUUUGCCACCAAACUUCAGAGAUUGAAAAUUGGAUGGAAUAAAAAAUUGCAGCAAAAGUUGCAAACACACUCGUAUUAAGCGCGUUUAUCUUGGGGACUUAGAAGAAACACAACAUUUAUUUCGUCAAAAACUUAGAAGAGCUAAAGGAAGGAAUUUGAUAAAAGCAGUGCUGAUAUAGGCACCCUUAAUGUUAAAAGCUUAAAGUAGCUAAAGAAAGGAAUUUAAGAAAAACAGUGCUGAUAUGUAGGAAUAUGAAACCAAAAGAAAAAAAAUCGUUUUCAGUUAAUUACUUGCGUUUUGGAAUUUUGUCAUGUGUUCUGUCUAAUUUCUGUUGUACAAGCGGUACAAACUUGUGUUUUAAAUGCAUAUUAUUUUAAUUUUUUAUGGGUCA